This 563-nucleotide long non-coding RNA is filed under the name Phaseolus vulgaris (common bean). RNAcentral describes it as "long non-coding RNA (PVUL_LNC000549)". The record is from RNAcentral. Lineage: Eukaryota; Viridiplantae; Streptophyta; Magnoliopsida; Fabales; Fabaceae.
GAUGGAAACCGUCCAGCCUCAAAACUUUCGGCCAAGAAGAUAGACGAAGAUCGAGCUUUAAUGAAGAGUUUGUAAAGUCUUUUUCUUCUUCUUAGCCUUGUAAAAAUUGUAUAGAGUAGUUAGGAAGUCUUGGUCCUUGUAUUUUGGGCCAAAGUAGAGAAAUAUGUAAAUAGAAAACAAAGUAAUGUGUAAAAUAGUAAAAGAGGGGUGCAAAUAGAAAUGUAGGCAAGGAAGGCAUGAGUCUCCACAUGUCUUCUCCUUAAUGGAGAGGAUUUGCACCAAUAAGGUGGUGACACUUGUCACACUCUCUUUUGAGAGUUUUUGAGAGACUUUAUCCUAUAAAUAGGAGUCUCUUGUACAUGUAUUUCUUUAACUUGGAAUUAGUAAUGAAAUGUUGCCUAAUUUUGGCCAUUCUACUUGUUCUUAAGUUCUCCCUAGGUUAGUCUCCUUCAAGACUUAGCCUAGACUCUUUCCUAGUGAGUUGGCCUCACCUCUCACUCUCACAAAUUCCUACUCCACUUCAAUCCAUGGAAACUCCUCUUGAGUUUCUUUAAUGCUUCCGC